This 311-nucleotide ribosomal RNA is filed under the name uncultured bacterium. Its description in RNAcentral is "bacterial SSU rRNA". It matches the Rfam family "Bacterial small subunit ribosomal RNA", at positions 28 to 334 of the family's 1533-position model. The record is from RNAcentral.
GACGAACGCUGGCGGCGCGCCUAACACAUGCAAGUCGAACGAGGUUGAGAGGAGCUUGCUUUUCUUGACUUAGUGGCGAACGGGUGAGUAACGCGUGAAUAACCUGCCUUUCAGUGGGGGACAACAGUCGGAAACGACUGCUAGUACCGCAUAAUGCAACGGAAUCGCAUGACUCUGUUGCCAAAGAUUUAUCGCUCUGAGAUGGCCUCGCGUCUGAUUAGCUAGUUGGCGGGGUAACGGCCCACCAAGGCGACGAUCAGUAGCCGGACUGAGAGGUUGGCCGGCCACAUUGGGACUGAGACACGGCCCAG